This 292-nucleotide ribosomal RNA is filed under the name uncultured bacterium. RNAcentral describes it as "partial 16S ribosomal RNA". It matches the Rfam family "Bacterial small subunit ribosomal RNA", at positions 505 to 796 of the family's 1533-position model. The record is from RNAcentral.
GUGCCAGCCGCCGCGGUAAUACGUAGGCAGCAAGCGUUGUUCGGAAUUACUGGGCGUAAAGAGUGUGUAGGCGGUGCUCCAAGUCUGGUGUGAAAUCUCCCGGCUUAACUGGGAGGGUGCAUUAGAAACUGGAAUGCUAGAGGAUGGGAGAGGUAAGCGGAAUUCCUGGUGUAGCGGUGAAAUGCGUAGAUAUCAGGAGGAACACCUGUGGUGUAGACAGCUUACUGGACCAUUUCUGACGCUGAGACACGAAAGCGUGGGUAGCAAACAGGAUUAGAAACCCUCGUAGUCC